Molecule: ribosomal RNA, 459 nt
Filed under: uncultured archaeon
Lineage: Archaea
Description: bacterial SSU rRNA
Rfam family: Archaeal small subunit ribosomal RNA
Source: RNAcentral
UGCCACUCUUAACGGGGUGGCUUUUCAGAAGUGUAAAAAGCUUCUGGAAUAAGGGCUGGGCAAGACCGGUGCCAGCCGCCGCGGUAACACCGGCAGCUCAAGUGGUAGCCGCUUUUAUUGGGCCUAAAGCGUCCGUAGCCGGUCUGAUAAGUCUCUGGUGAAAUCCCACAGCUUAACUGUGGGAAUUGCUGGAGAUACUAUCAUGACUCGAGGUCGGGAGAGGCUGGAGGUACUCCCAGGGUAGGGGUGAAAUCCUGUAAUCCUGGGAGGACCACCUGGGCGAAGGCGUCCAGCUGGAACGAACCUGACGGUGAGGGACGAAAGCCAGGGGCGCGAACCGGAUUAGAUACCCGGGUAGUCCUGGCCGUAAACGAUGUGGACUUGGUGUUGAGAUGGCUUCGAGCUGCCCCAGUGCCGAAGGGAAGCUGUUAAGUCCACCGCCUGGGAAGUACGGCCGCA